UACAGAGGUCCCAAGCGUUGUUCGGAUUCACUGGGCGUAAAGGGUGCGUAGGUGGUGGGGUAAGUCGGAUGUGAAAUCUCCGAGCUCAACUCGGAAAUGGCAUUGGAAACUACCCUGCUAGAGGGUCGGAGGGGGGACUGGAAUGACUUGGUGUAGCAGUGAAAUGUGUAGAUAUCAAGUGGAACACCAGUGGCGAAGGCGAGUCCCUGGACGACUCCUGACACUGAGGCACGAAAGCUAGGGGAGCAAACAGG
Molecule: ribosomal RNA, 254 nt
Filed under: uncultured bacterium
Lineage: Bacteria
Description: partial 16S ribosomal RNA
Rfam family: Bacterial small subunit ribosomal RNA
Source: RNAcentral